RNAcentral lists this ribosomal RNA (273 nucleotides) under uncultured bacterium. RNAcentral describes it as "partial 16S ribosomal RNA". It matches the Rfam family "Bacterial small subunit ribosomal RNA", at positions 524 to 792 of the family's 1533-position model. The record is from RNAcentral.
GACGAACCGUACGAACGUUAUUCGGAAUUACUGGGCUUAAAGGGUGCGUAGGCUGCGCGGAAAGUUGGGUGUGAAAUCCCUCGGCUCAACCGAGGAAACUGCCGCCCAAAACUACCGUGCUCGAGGGAGACAGAGGUGAGCGGAACUUAGGGUGGAGCGGUGAAAUGCGUUGAUAUCCUAAGGAACACCCGUGGCGAAAGCGGCUCACUGGGUCUCUUCUGACGCUGAGGCACGAAAGCUAGGGUAGCGAACGGGAUUAAGAAACCCUUGGUA